UCACAUAAAACAUGCAAAAGAAAGCUGGAUAGGGCACUUUCGGCGGCAGGUUCGGUGGCCGAAACCCCUCUCCAGAGACGAAACUCAUGCAUGUUCGGCGGCACCUUCGGCGGCCGAAGGUCUCGUCCAGAGACGAAACUCACACCCUUUCGGCGGCCGAACUCCCUCUUUCGGCGGCCGAAAGUCCCUUGCUAAACCGAAAGCCUAGCUUUCGGGGGCAACCUUUGGCAGCCGAAACUGCCUCCACAAGGGGUUCGGCGGCUGAACCUUCCUUCGGCGGCCGAACCUGGUUUUGCCCGAAGGGCAGAACCCUGCUCUGUUUCAUGCAAACUUUGCCCAAAAACC
Molecule: long non-coding RNA, 345 nt
Filed under: Manihot esculenta (cassava)
Lineage: Eukaryota; Viridiplantae; Streptophyta; Magnoliopsida; Malpighiales; Euphorbiaceae
Description: long non-coding RNA (MESC_LNC009890)
Source: RNAcentral